RNAcentral lists this ribosomal RNA (468 nucleotides) under uncultured bacterium. Its description in RNAcentral is "partial 16S ribosomal RNA". It matches the Rfam family "Bacterial small subunit ribosomal RNA", at positions 28 to 507 of the family's 1533-position model. The record is from RNAcentral.
GACGAACGCUGGCGGCGUGCUUAACACAUGCAAGUCGAACGGAAAGGCCCUGCUUUUGUGGGGUGCUCGAGUGGCGAACGGGUGAGUAACACGUGAGUAACCUGCCCUUGACUUUGGGAUAACUUCAGGAAACUGGGGCUAAUACCGGAUAGGAGCUCCUGCUGCAUGGUGGGGGUUGGAAAGUUUCGGCGGUUGGGGAUGGACUCGCGGCUUAUCAGCUUGUUGGUGGGGUAGUGGCUUACCAAGGCUUUGACGGGUAGCCGGCCUGAGAGGGUGACCGGCCACAUUGGGACUGAGAGACGGCCCAGACUCCUACGGGAGGCAGCAGUGGGGAAUAUUGCACAAUGGGCGGAAGCCUGAUGCAGCAACGCCGCGUGCGGGAAGACGGCCUUCGGGUUGUAAACCGCUUUCGCCGGUGACGAAGCGUGAGUGACGGUAAUGGGUAAAGAAGCACCGGCUAACUACGUG